UACAGAGGUCCCGAGCGUUGUUCGGAUUCAUUGGGCGUAAAGGGUGCGUAGGUGGCGCUGUAAGUCGGGUGUGAAAUUUCGGAGCUUAACUCCGAAACUGCAUUCGAUACUGCGGUGCUUGAGGACUGGAGAGGAGACUGGAAUUCAUGGUGUAGCAGUGAAAUGCGUAGAGAUCAUGAGGAAGACCAGUGGCGAAGGCGGGUCUCUGGACAGUUCCUGACACUGAGGCACGAAGGCCAGGGGAGCAAACGGG
Molecule: ribosomal RNA, 253 nt
Filed under: uncultured bacterium
Lineage: Bacteria
Description: partial 16S ribosomal RNA
Rfam family: Bacterial small subunit ribosomal RNA
Source: RNAcentral